UUAACAUACAAUUGUGCUAUCUAAGACCUAGGAAUCAACACCCUUUAUCUUGUUCCCUGUCUCAAGUCCCCCCUUUUCUUUAUCCAAAGCAAAUUCUUUUGAUUAUAACAAUCGUUCUUGAUUCAAAGUUUUCAUCAAAUUCUUACCAGUUUCCACUUGGGGCUUGUUUCGGUUACACUUCCAGCUUUCAUAAUCAUCUAGUCCUUUCAUACAGCACCAAAACGCACACUGCACCAAUACACAGGUCAAGAAUGCUACUCUUACCAAGAAGAUAGGAUU
Oxyura jamaicensis (ruddy duck) is the source of this 279-nucleotide long non-coding RNA. RefSeq lists it as uncharacterized. The record is from RefSeq and is a predicted model, not a curated record. The transcript is spliced from 3 exons. Lineage: Eukaryota; Metazoa; Chordata; Aves; Anseriformes; Anatidae.